CGAGCAACGCCGCGUGAGCGAUGAAGGCCUUCGGGUCGUAAAGCUCUGUUGUUAGAGAAGAACAAGUACGAGAGUAACUGCUCGUACCUUGACGGUACCUAACCAGAAAGCCACGGCUAACUACGUGCCAGCAGCCGCGGUAAUACGUAGGUGGCAAGCGUUAUCCGGAAUUAUUGGGCGUAAAGCGCGCGCAGGCGGUCUCUUAAGUCUGAUGUGAAAGCCCACGGCUCAACCGUGGAGGGUCAUUGGAAACUGGGAGACUUGAGUGCAGGAGAGAAAAGUGGAAUUCCACGUGUAGCGGUGAAAUGCGUAGAGAUGUGGAGGAACACCAGUGGCGAAGGCGGCUUUUUGGCCUGUAACUGACGCUGAGGCGCGAAAGCGUGGGGAGCAAACAGGAUUAGAUACCCUGGUAGUCCACGCCGUAAACGAUGAGUGCUAGGUGUUGGGGGGUUCCACCCUCAGUGCUGAAGUUAACACAUUAAGCACUCCGCCUGGGGAGUACGACCGCAAGGUUGAAACUCAAAG
RNAcentral lists this ribosomal RNA (525 nucleotides) under Fictibacillus halophilus. RNAcentral's name for it is "bacterial SSU rRNA". It matches the Rfam family "Bacterial small subunit ribosomal RNA", at positions 388 to 906 of the family's 1533-position model. Lineage: Bacteria; Bacillati; Bacillota; Bacilli; Caryophanales; Fictibacillaceae. The record is from RNAcentral.